Molecule: long non-coding RNA, 1043 nt
Organism: Eutrema salsugineum
Lineage: Eukaryota; Viridiplantae; Streptophyta; Magnoliopsida; Brassicales; Brassicaceae
Exons: 4
Source: RefSeq, a predicted model, not a curated record
CUUAGGUCACGACCUUACUUGAGCAGGAUCUGUUCUAUAGGCUCGUACUUCUGUAUCCUUGGUUCCUAAGGAGACAGGCUCUCAAACCUGGUUGAUGAGUCUAGACUGUGCGAUCUGAGUGAGAUUGAUGGUCACGAUUCUCUUCGUAGUUUCCGCGCUAUAGAGGAUCGCUAUCCGGUCGGAUUUCGACCUGUCCGGGGUGGUCGCACUGUUGUCUGACAGGCUAACUUUUUGUUUCUUUCAUUAUUAUUCCAUUAACUUUCGAUUUCUUACAAUUUCACUCCAUAUGUUUUUUCUUUUGAACGAAAACCCCAUGUUUUCUCUUCACCGUUCCAAACUUCCAAUUCCACAUCUUCUUCUACUCUUCGGUGUUGUGUUGUUUCGAAUUUCUCUUCUCCGAACAUGAUUCCUUCUGCAAUUGAAUCGAACCAGUUUUAUAAUCUCGAUUCUAAAUCAACAAAAAGAGAUGGAGAAAUAUAAGGACCAUCAUAUGAAUAAGCUUUUACCUGAGAAGGAACUUUAAUUUGAGAGUUGAGACUCUAUUGAUGGUGUUGUUGGGAUCUGUUUCUGAGUGAGCAUGGAGGACCGCAAGCUGCACGAGCAGUCAUGAAAUGGACACAGGAUCAUGUGGACAGUGACAUGAAGCAUUGGACUGUAUUUCUUCCCUUGAGCCAAGUUUACUCGAAUCGCUCGACCUUCCAGCUCAAAUCCAUCAAGCGAUUCAAGCGCAGUUUCCAUUUCCGAUUUGGAAGAGUAACAAACAAAGCCAUAACCCCGUGAUUUCCCUGUAUCUCCAUCAAACACAACUCUAGCCCCAACCACAUCUCCACACUCUCGAAACGCUCCAGCUAAAGACUCUGAAGUAACUGUCCACGACAAGUUACCAACAAAUAGCUUAAACUCUGUCUCUGGAUACAAAGGUUCUUUGUUAGGUUUUGGUUUAUCUGCAAAGUUCACCUUCAAAGCCCGACCAUGAUACUCCUGAGAAACAAAAACCAAUUCCAAACAAGAAUGUGAUUUCUGUUUUUUUUUUUUUUUUUUUU